UUGAGGUGGCAGAAAUAUGCGUCAAGUUUAAGCUUUGGAGAUAGGAAAAUAUUCCUCCUUAAU
Molecule: transfer RNA, 63 nt
Filed under: Macridiscus multifarius
Lineage: Eukaryota; Metazoa; Mollusca; Bivalvia; Venerida; Veneridae
Description: tRNA-Leu
Source: RNAcentral